GUCCACGCCCUAAACGAUGUCAACUGGUUGUCGGGGAAGUUUUUCCUUGGUAACGAAGCUAACGCGUGAAGUUGACCGCCUGGGGGAGUACGGCCGCAAGGUUAAAACUCAAAGGAAUUGACGGGGACCCGCACAAGCGGUGGAUUAUGUGGAUUAAUUCGAUGCAACGCGAAAACCUUACCUACCCUUGACAUGUGCGGAAUGGGGUAGAGAUACCUCGGUGCCCGAAAGGGACCGCAACACAGGUGCUGCAUGGCUGUCGU
This 263-nucleotide ribosomal RNA is filed under the name uncultured bacterium. Its description in RNAcentral is "partial 16S ribosomal RNA". It matches the Rfam family "Bacterial small subunit ribosomal RNA", at positions 793 to 1055 of the family's 1533-position model. The record is from RNAcentral.